Molecule: ribosomal RNA, 153 nt
Filed under: uncultured Enterobacteriaceae bacterium
Lineage: Bacteria; Pseudomonadati; Pseudomonadota; Gammaproteobacteria; Enterobacterales; Enterobacteriaceae
Description: partial 16S ribosomal RNA
Rfam family: Bacterial small subunit ribosomal RNA
Source: RNAcentral
GCCUGAUGCAGCCAUGCCGCGUGUAUGAAGAAGGCCUUCGGGUUGUAAAGUACUUUCAGCGGGGAGGAAGGUGUUGAGGUUAAUAACCUCAGCAAUUGACGUUACCCGCAGAAGAAGCACCGGCUAACUCCGUGCCAGCAGCCGCGGUAAUCA